UUUAAUUAAAAAAAUUAUCACUUUCAAUAUGUACAUUUUACAAAAAUAUAAUUUGUUCAUUGUAACUGAAAAUUCUAUCAAAAGUUAACAUAUCAAAACCUUUGUUAAUAAAAGUUUUGAGCCAAAUCACAUACUAAUAGUUUUCUCUCUCUCCUCUGUGAUGUCCCUGAUUGAGCUUCUGGAGCUUCUGGAGCUGCCCCUGAAGAGGACAGAUGCUGUGUCCAAUGCAGAGCAGUCUGCACCCUUGAGUGAAACUUGGAUAAUGCGAACUAAGAGGGGGGCCUGAACUUUGCUGUGCACCUUACUUGGUGUGAUGACCUAGUCUCCUCUGGGACCACUACUUACCUGCAUGACACCAAAUUGGGAGAAUGACUUAAAGAAAAUAAACUUACACUCCUGCGUUGGAUUUUCUGUUCUAAAACCAUCAGACAAGCAACAAGUCCUCGCUUGGUGAGACAUACUUGAGGCUGAAGUUUUGUCUUCCGAGAAGAAGGGAGUUGGGGAUGAGGAGAGAUUUGGAGGGAACAGCAAGGUCUCAAUAGAAAAAAAAACCCCAGAAAAGCCGUAUUUCAAAGCAGGAAGCAGUCAGAACUUGAGUCCCCAGGAUUCCCUGUUGAGCAGGAUAGUGAAGCUCACAACAGUGAUUACAUCAGCCUCAUAACGAGUCAGUUUUGUCUUUUGGUUGGUUGUAGUUUUGAACCAUAUUUAUUGUUUUAUGAAAGAGUUCUAUGUGAA
Suricata suricatta (meerkat) is the source of this 735-nucleotide long non-coding RNA. RefSeq lists it as uncharacterized. The record is from RefSeq and is a predicted model, not a curated record. The transcript is spliced from 4 exons. Lineage: Eukaryota; Metazoa; Chordata; Mammalia; Carnivora; Herpestidae.